RNAcentral lists this ribosomal RNA (435 nucleotides) under uncultured Lachnospiraceae bacterium. Its description in RNAcentral is "bacterial SSU rRNA". It matches the Rfam family "Bacterial small subunit ribosomal RNA", at positions 341 to 792 of the family's 1533-position model. The record is from RNAcentral. Lineage: Bacteria; Bacillati; Bacillota; Clostridia; Lachnospirales; Lachnospiraceae.
ACGGAAGGCAGCAGUGGGGGAUAUUGCACAAUGGGCGCAAGCCUGAUGCAGCGACGCCGCGUGAGUGAAGAAGUAUUUCGGUAUGUAAAGCUCUAUCAGCAGGGAAGAAAAUGACGGUACCUGACUAAGAAGCUCCGGCUAAAUACGUGCCAGCAGCCGCGGUAAUACGUAUGGAGCAAGCGUUAUCCGGAUUUACUGGGUGUAAAGGGAGCGUAGGCGGUGAUGCAAGUCAGAAGUGAAAACCCGGGGCUCAACCCCGUGGAUUGCUUUUGAGACUGUGUUGCUGGAGUGCAGGAGGGGCAGGCGGAAUUCCUGGUGUAGCGGUGAAAUGCGUAGAUAUCAGGAGGAACACCGGUGGCGAAGGCGGCCUGCUGGACUGUAACUGACGCUGAGGCUCGAAGGCGUGGGGAGCAAACAGGAUUAGAUACCCUGGUA